RNAcentral lists this small RNA (17 nucleotides) under Arabidopsis thaliana (thale cress). RNAcentral's name for it is "ATSL189450". Lineage: Eukaryota; Viridiplantae; Streptophyta; Magnoliopsida; Brassicales; Brassicaceae. The record is from RNAcentral.
AUCUUUGUGUCUUCUAA